RNAcentral lists this ribosomal RNA (500 nucleotides) under uncultured bacterium. Its description in RNAcentral is "partial 16S ribosomal RNA". It matches the Rfam family "Bacterial small subunit ribosomal RNA", at positions 30 to 523 of the family's 1533-position model. The record is from RNAcentral.
AUUGAACGCUGGCGGCAUGUCUUACACAUGCAAGUCGAACGGCAGCACGGGAGCAAUCCUGGUGGCGAGUGGCGAACGGGUGAGUAAUAUAUCGGAACGUGCCCAGUCGUGGGGGAUAACGCAGCGAAAGCUGUGCUAAUACCGCAUACGAUCUACGGAUGAAAGCGGGGGAUCGCAAGACCUCGCGCGAUUGGAGCGGCCGAUAUCAGAUUAGCUAGUUGGUGAGGUAAAGGCUCACCAAGGCGACGAUCUGUAGCUGGUUUGAGAGGACGACCAGCCACACUGGAACUGAGACACGGUCCAGACUCCUACGGGAGGCAGCAGUGGGGAAUUUUGGACAAUGGGCGAAAGCCUGAUCCAGCAAUGCCGCGUGCAGGAUGAAGGCCUUCGGGUUGUAAACUGCUUUUGUACGGAACGAAACGGUGAGCUCUAAUACAGUUUGCUAAUGACGGUACCGUAAGAAUAAGCACCGGCUAACUACGUGCCAGCCGCCGCCGUAA